This 253-nucleotide ribosomal RNA is filed under the name uncultured bacterium. Its description in RNAcentral is "partial 16S ribosomal RNA". It matches the Rfam family "Bacterial small subunit ribosomal RNA", at positions 524 to 776 of the family's 1533-position model. The record is from RNAcentral.
GACAGAGGGUGCAAACGUUGUUCGGAAUUACUGGGCGUAAAGCGUGUGUAGGCGGUCCUACAAGUCAGGUGUGAAAGCCCCGGGCUCAACCCGGGAAGUGCACUUGAUACUGUUUGACUAGAGUACUGGAGAGGUUGGUGGAAUUCUCGGUGUAGAGGUGAAAUUCGUAGAUAUCGAGAGGAACACCUGUGGCGAAGGCGGCCAACUGGACAGAUACUGACGCUGAGACACGAAAGCGUGGGGAGCAAACAGG